AAGCAGCUUGUUUUAUCUGUGGUUGUUCAGUAUUUGUGGUAGCCCAGUUCCUUUAUUGUGUGUCCUGGCUAAAGAGACUCACCAUGGCCAUGUUGACCGUUCUUCUGCUUCUCAGUGCUGCCUUUGCUCUGGGAGACGCAAUUUCAUCAGAAACCGCUUG
Coregonus clupeaformis (lake whitefish) is the source of this 160-nucleotide long non-coding RNA. RefSeq lists it as uncharacterized. The transcript has 3 exons. Lineage: Eukaryota; Metazoa; Chordata; Actinopteri; Salmoniformes; Salmonidae. The record is from RefSeq and is a predicted model, not a curated record.